GGGUUGUGAGGUUAAGCGACUAAGCGUACACGGUGGAUGCCCUGGCAGUCAGAGGCGAUGAAGGGCGUGCUAAUCUGCGAUAAGCGCCGGUAAGGUGAUAUGAACCGUUAUAACCGGCGAUACCCGAAUGGGGAAACCCAGUGUGAUUCGUCACACUAUCAUUAACUGAAUCCAUAGGUUAAUGAGGCGAACCGGGGGAACUGAAACAUCUAAGUACCCCGAGGAAAAGAAAUCAACCGAGAUUCCCCCAGUAGCGGCGAGCGAACGGGGAGGAGCCCAGAGCCUGAAUCAGCAUGUGUGUUAGUGGAAGCGUCUGGAAAGGCGCGCGAUACAGGGUGACAGCCCCGUACACAAAAGCGCAUGUGCUGUGAGCUCGAUGAGUAGGGCGGGACACGUGGUAUCCUGUCUGAAUAUGGGGGGACCAUCCUCCAAGGCUAAAUACUCCUGACUGACCGAUAGUGAACCAGUACCGUGAGGGAAAGGCGAAAAGAACCCCGGCGAGGGGAGUGAAAAAGAACCUGAAACCGUGUACGUACAAGCAGUGGGAGCNNNNNNNNNNNNNNNNNNNNNNNNNNNNNNNNNNNNNNNNNNNNNNNNNNNNNNNNNNNNNNNNNNNNNNNNNNNNNNNNNNNNNNNNNNNNNNNNNNCUAAUGUUGAAAAAUUAGCGGAUGACCUGUGGCUGGGGGUGAAAGGCCAAUCAAACCGGGAGAUAGCUGGUUCUCCCCGAAAGCUAUUUAGGUAGCGCCUCGUGAAUUCAUCUCCGGGGGUAGAGCACUGUUUCGGCUAGGGGGCCAUCCCGGCUUACCAACCCGAUGCAAACUGCGAAUACCGGAGAAUGUUAUCACGGGAGACACACGGCGGGUGCUAACGUCCGUCGUGAAGAGGGAAACAACCCAGACCGCCAGCUAAGGUCCCAAAGUCAUGGUUAAGUGGGAAACGAUGUGGGAAGGCCCAGACAGCCAGGAUGUUGGCUUAGAAGCAGCCAUCAUUUAAAGAAAGCGUAAUAGCUCACUGGUCGAGUCGGCCUGCGCGGAAGAUGUAACGGGGCUAAACCAUGCACCGAAGCUGCGGCAGCGANNUGCUGGAGGUAUCAGAAGUGCGAAUGCUGACAUAAGUAACGAUAAAGCGGGUGAAAAGCCCGCUCGCCGGAAGACCAAGGGUUCCUGUCCAACGUUAAUCGGGGCAGGGUGAGUCGACCCCUAAGGCGAGGCCGAAAGGCGUAGUCGAUGGGAAACGGGUUAAUAUUCCCGUACUUGGUGUUACUGCGAAGGGGGGACGGAGAAGGCUAUGUUGGCCGGGCGACGGUUGUCCCGGUUUAAGCGUGUAGGUGUGUGUUCCAGGUAAAUCCGGUUCACUUUAACACUGAGGCGUGACGACGAGGCACUACGGUGCUGAAGCAACAAAUGCCCUGCUUCCAGGAAAAGCCUCUAAGCAUCAGGUAACAUCAAAUCGUACCCCAAACCGACACAGGUGGUCAGGUAGAGAAUACCAAGGCGCUUGAGAGAACUCGGGUGAAGGAACUAGGCAAAAUGGUGCCGUAACUUCGGGAGAAGGCACGCUGACACGUAGGUGAAGUGAUUUACUCAUGGAGCUGAAGUCAGUCGAAGAUACCAGCUGGCUGCAACUGUUUAUUAAAAACACAGCACUGUGCAAACACGAAAGUGGACGUAUACGGUGUGACGCCUGCCCGGUGCCGGAAGGUUAAUUGAUGGGGUCAGCGCAAGCGAAGCUCCUGAUCGAAGCCCCGGUAAACGGCGGCCGUAACUAUAACGGUCCUAAGGUAGCGAAAUUCCUUGUCGGGUAAGUUCCGACCUGCACGAAUGGCGUAAUGAUGGCCAGGCUGUCUCCACCCGAGACUCAGUGAAAUUGAACUCGCUGUGAAGAUGCAGUGUACCCGCGGCAAGACGGAAAGACCCCGUGAACCUUUACUAUAGCUUGACACUGAACAUUGAGCCUUGAUGUGUAGGAUAGGUGGGAGGCUUUGAAGUGUGGACGCCAGUCUGCAUGGAGCCGACCUUGAAAUACCACCCUUUAAUGUUUGAUGUUCUAACGUGGACCCGUAAUCCGGGUUGCGGACAGUGUCUGGUGGGUAGUUUGACUGGGGCGGUCUCCUCCUAAAGAGUAACGGAGGAGCACGAAGGUUGGCUAAUCCUGGUCGGACAUCAGGAGGUUAGUGCAAUGGCAUAAGCCAGCUUGACUGCGAGCGUGACGGCGCGAGCAGGUGCGAAAGCAGGUCAUAGUGAUCCGGUGGUUCUGAAUGGAAGGGCCAUCGCUCAACGGAUAAAAGGUACUCCGGGGAUAACAGGCUGAUACCGCCCAAGAGUUCAUAUCGACGGCGGUGUUUGGCACCUCGAUGUCGGCUCAUCACAUCCUGGGGCUGAAGUAGGUCCCAAGGGUAUGGCUGUUCGCCAUUUAAAGUGGUACGCGAGCUGGGUUUAGAACGUCGUGAGACAGUUCGGUCCCUAUCUGCCGUGGGCGCUGGAGAACUGAGGGGGGCUGCUCCUAGUACGAGAGGACCGGAGUGGACGCAUCACUGGUGUUCGGGUUGUCAUGCCAAUGGCACUGCCCGGUAGCUAAAUGCGGAAGAGAUAAGUGCUGAAAGCAUCUAAGCACGAAACUUGCCCCGAGAUGAGUUCUCCCUGAGACUUAGAGUCUCCUGAAGGAACGUUGAAGACGACGACGUUGAUAGGCCGGGUGUGUAAGCGCAGCGAUGCGUUGAGCUAACCGGUACUAAUGAACCGUGAGGCUUAACCUUACAACGCCGAAG
This 2767-nucleotide ribosomal RNA is filed under the name Salmonella enterica subsp. enterica serovar Typhimurium. Its description in RNAcentral is "23S ribosomal RNA". It matches the Rfam family "Bacterial large subunit ribosomal RNA". The record is from RNAcentral. Lineage: Bacteria; Pseudomonadati; Pseudomonadota; Gammaproteobacteria; Enterobacterales; Enterobacteriaceae.